AGUGAACGCUGGCGGUAGGCCUAACACAUGCAAGUCGAACGGCAGCACAGUAAGAGCUUGCUCUUACGGGUGGCGAGUGGCGGACGGGUGAGGGAUACAUCGGAAUCUACUUUUUCGUGGGGGAUAACGUAGGGAAACUUACGCUAAUACCGCAUACGACCUACGGGUGAAAGCAGGGGAUCUUCGGACCUUGCGCGAUUGAAUGAGCCGAUGUCGGAUUAGCUAGUUGGCGGGGUAAAGGCCCACCAAGGCGACGAUCCGUAGCUGGUCUGAGAGGAUGAUCAGCCACACUGGAACUGAGACACGGUCCAGACUCCUACGGGAGGCAGCAGUGGGGAAUAUUGUACAAUGGGCGCAAGCCUGAUCCAGCCAUACCGCGUGGGUGAAGAAGGCCUUCGGGUUGUAAAGCCCUUUUGUUGGGAAAGAAAAGCAGCAGGUUAAUACCCCGCUGUUCUGACGGUACCCAAAGAAUAAGCACCGGCUAACUUCGUG
This 492-nucleotide ribosomal RNA is filed under the name uncultured bacterium. Its description in RNAcentral is "partial 16S ribosomal RNA". It matches the Rfam family "Bacterial small subunit ribosomal RNA", at positions 29 to 507 of the family's 1533-position model. The record is from RNAcentral.